AAUUUAUUUACCGAAACAACAUAAUGAAAUAUGAUAUAUAUCGUUCUUUAGAAUGAGAAGCUACAAAAUAGAAGAGGCAUAAGUUUAUAUGGAAGUAUUCAUAUAUCCUAGGCCGGGUUUUUACAGAGCAAUCACGGACAUGCCUUUAUACGUCUAUACAAAAUGAUCUGCGCAAGAAGGCUGCACAUAUGGAAGUAUUCAUAUAUCCUAGGCCGGGUUUUUACAGAGCAAUCACGGGCAUGCCGUUAUACAUCUAUACAAAAUGAUCUGCGCGAGAAGGCUGCUGUAAAAGUAGCAAGGAUUAAAGUAAAAAAUGCAUCACAACAAUUCAUUACUAAACAACGGAAUGAAAUACGAUAGCUAUCAAUCCUGGUAACAGGAAGCUACCAAAUAUAAGACGACCACAUUUAUAUUAUUAUUUUGCGGGUAGAGGAUAACAUUUAUAUGGAAACAUUCAAAUAUCCUAGGUCUGUAUUUUGACCAUGUAAUCACGGAUAUGUCGUUAUACCCCCACCUUCUCCUUUUACUCCGCAUACAAGUUUGGUCAAACUGAAAAUGGAAAUGCAUUAUGUUUGAACACUGAAACCCCUCCUUGCAAAAGAAUCAAUUAGAGCACCGGUCCUCAUUCAAUCUGAUCUCUGACUGUGAGCUAUUUUUGUUCUCUAUAAUUUAGCUUGGGGUUUCCACUUGUGUAGAACUGUAACAAAUAAAGCAGGGCAUGUAGCAUGGGUGCAGCUCCUGUGCUGGGCACUAUUGACAUGCUUUGCACACGUAUAAUAGGCAUGGGCAAAGGUGAGAGGGUCAUGGUGUACUGCACGGCCUGGAUGUGCACUGUGUGUAUGCGUGAGGCUGUAAAGGAUAAUAACAAUGUGUAGCUUCUCGCUUCAGUCAUAAACAGAAAAAUACAAAAAUGAACUCAACACAAAGCUAGUGCUGGGGGAAAACCAUCGAGUACCUUGUAUACAUCCUUUCUCUGGUUGAUUCUUGCUAUCGAUUCCUCUACGACGAGCCAAGAUCUGAGUCUCAUGUGUGUCCACAGGGGGAAAACAGAGGCGAGCGAGACUCCAGGC
RNAcentral lists this long non-coding RNA (1070 nucleotides) under Triticum aestivum (bread wheat). Its description in RNAcentral is "long non-coding RNA (TAES_LNC008155)". Lineage: Eukaryota; Viridiplantae; Streptophyta; Magnoliopsida; Poales; Poaceae. The record is from RNAcentral.